This 63-nucleotide transfer RNA is filed under the name Elysia chlorotica (eastern emerald elysia). RNAcentral describes it as "tRNA-Tyr". The record is from RNAcentral. Lineage: Eukaryota; Metazoa; Mollusca; Gastropoda; Plakobranchidae.
AUUUUGGUGGCUGAAGAUAGGCGAUAGAUUGUAAAUCUUUUUAUGACAUUUUGUCCCAGAACU